This 460-nucleotide ribosomal RNA is filed under the name uncultured bacterium. RNAcentral's name for it is "partial 16S ribosomal RNA". It matches the Rfam family "Bacterial small subunit ribosomal RNA", at positions 338 to 795 of the family's 1533-position model. The record is from RNAcentral.
CCUACGGGAGGCAGCAGUGAGGAAUAUUGGUCAAUGGACGAGAGUCUGAACCAGCCAAGUAGCGUGAAGGAUGACUGCCCUAUGGGUUGUAAACUUCUUUUAUAUGGGAAUAAAAUGUUCCACGUGUGGGAUUUUGUAUGUACCAUAUGAAUAAGGAUCGGCUAACUCCGUGCCAGCAGCCGCGGUAAUACGGAGGAUCCGAGCGUUAUCCGGAUUUAUUGGGUUUAAAGGGAGCGUAGGUGGAUUGUUAAGUCAGUUGUGAAAGUUUGCGGCGCAACCGUAAAAUUGCAGUUGAAACUGGCAGUCUUGAGUACAGGAGAGGUGGGCGGAAUUCGUGGUGUAGCGGUGAAAUGCUUAGAUAUCACGAAGAACUCCGAUUGCGAAGGCAGUUCACUGGACUGCAACUGACACUGAGGCUCGAAAGUGUGGGUAUCAAACAGGAUUAGAUACCCCUGUAGUC